AUGGGAACGCGAAGAACCUUACCUAGACUUGACAUCUCCUGAAUAGUGUAGAGAUACAUGAAGCCCUUCGGGGCAGGAAGACAGGUGGUGCAUGGCUGUCGUCAGCUCGUGUUGUGAAAUGUUGGGUUAAGUCCUGCAACGAGCGCAACCCUUAUCCUUUGUUGCCAGCGGUUAGGCCGGGAACUCAAAGGAGACUGCCAGUGAUAAACUGGAGGAAGGUGGGGAUGACGUCAAGUCAUCAUGGCCCUUACGAGUAGGGCUACACACGUGCUACAAUGGCGCAUACAAAGAGAAGCGACCUCGCGAGAGCAAGCGGACCUCAUAAAGUGCGUCGUAGUCCGGAUUGGAGUCUGCAACUCGACUCCAUGAAGUCGGAAUCGCUAGUAAUCGUAGAUCAGAAUGCUACGGUGAAUACGUUCCCGGGUCUUGUACACACCG
RNAcentral lists this ribosomal RNA (438 nucleotides) under uncultured bacterium. RNAcentral's name for it is "bacterial SSU rRNA". It matches the Rfam family "Bacterial small subunit ribosomal RNA", at positions 954 to 1392 of the family's 1533-position model. The record is from RNAcentral.